GCCGCGGUGGCGAAGUGGUAUCCGCGUCGCACUCGUAAUGCGAAGAUCCUAAGUUCAAUCCUUAGUCGUGGCA
RNAcentral lists this transfer RNA (73 nucleotides) under Endocarpon pusillum. RNAcentral describes it as "tRNA-Thr (CGT) (tRNA-Thr-CGT-1-1)". It matches the Rfam family "tRNA". From Rfam's summary of the family: Transfer RNA (tRNA) molecules are approximately 80 nucleotides in length. Their secondary structure includes four short double-helical elements and three loops (D, anti-codon, and T loops). Further hydrogen bonds mediate the characteristic L-shaped molecular structure. tRNAs have two regions of fundamental functional importance: the anti-codon, which is responsible for specific mRNA codon recognition, and the 3' end, to which the tRNAs corresponding amino acid is attached (by aminoacyl-tRNA synthetases). tRNAs cope with the degeneracy of the genetic code in two manners: having more than one tRNA (with a specific anti-codon) for a particular amino acid; and 'wobble' base-pairing, i.e. permitting non-standard base-pairing at the 3rd anti-codon position. The record is from RNAcentral. Lineage: Eukaryota; Fungi; Ascomycota; Eurotiomycetes; Verrucariales; Verrucariaceae. RNAcentral also lists the same sequence under 1 other name.